Molecule: long non-coding RNA, 1862 nt
Filed under: Mytilus galloprovincialis (Mediterranean mussel)
Lineage: Eukaryota; Metazoa; Mollusca; Bivalvia; Mytilida; Mytilidae
Source: RNAcentral
AUUAUCUUGUUCCUAAGUUGUUGGAUAUUUAUUUUGCAGUUAAUAUUGUAAUGAACUGUGACACUGAGAAAAUAUAGGUGAAAUGAGACAACAAUUGUAUGAAAAAUCAUAAGUAACUGGAGAGUUACAAAUAUAGGUAGAAUUACAUCAAAUGGCAUUUCAUUGUAAAUUUGUGUAUAAAAAUGAUGUAUUAUACAAUGAUAAUUAUUAUAUUAGUGGAAAUCAAUAGUAUAUGGGCAUUGUAUUAUAAUAAUGUACUAAAUGGUUAGAUUUAUGUUUCAUACAGUGCUUUAAUCUAAAUCCCAAUACAGCACUUACAACCAUGUUCUAGCUUUGGAGAUAAUAUUGAUGUCAGAGCAUCUUUUUGUUUUAUAACAGUGAUAGAAAGAAAACUUAUUUAUUAUAAAUCACAAGGUUAGUUAGCAUGUUAUUUGUAUCAUUUUAUCAUAGCUAUUUCAUAAUUCAGGGAUGACUAAAUACCUCUUUACACACAUGCAACUUAAUGUAAGAAAGAAAUUCUGCUGACUAUGUUACAAUUCAUUCUUAUCAGGUUGUUUACAAUGUUAAGAUAAACAUGUAAUGUAAGUAAAACCUAUGUAUGUGUACUAUUUUAAAUGGAGUCAUAAAAUAUGCCAUGAUAAACUAUACCAAAACUUUUCGAUUUUACCCUCAAAAAGUGUCAGAUUUUGCCCCACAAAACUAACAACAGUGCAGAUGAUAUGUGAUAAAAACAUUUGACAUGUUUAAGAGAUGUUUUUUAGUAUUUUUAAAGGUCAAAUAAUGAAAAAAAGGACUCAUUUGGUUCAAAACUUUGGGUUUUAACUUCUAAUUUUAUCUUAAUUUUUAUGAGUGGUAGGAUGAAAUUUUUUAAACAGCACAUGACUAUAAUUAAAAUGAUAUCGAAACGACAAAAAAAGUAAAAAUCAAAUAUGUAUUGCUUGUUUUUAAAAUCUUUGUAGUCAAACAUAGCUUUGGAUUUGUAAGAAUGAGAGAAAGUAAAACUUUCAUUCCAUUUAGAGAUUAUAGUUUAUUGUGUGCAGGGUUAUCCACAAAAAAUGGUCAAAAAGUGGGAAGAAAUAUUUCCUAUGCUCACAAUCAAUAAGAGAUAUGAGCAUUAGUUUUCUUAAGAGUCACUCAAACCCAAUACCCAUAUACGUUUUUCUAGAACAGCCCUUUACAAAAUAAUCUAAAAUGCCCUGAUAAUUUUCUAUUUAAAAUUUUGAGUCCAACAUGACACCAGAAUUUCUUAUUGUUACACGAAUACAUUCAGGAAAUAUGGCCUCAUCAAUUUUUGAUUAAGUAUUUUGGAUUGUUGAAUGAUAAAAAUAUUUUCAGUUAAACACUUCUGCUUUGUUAGUGCAGUCUUUUUUUAUAUAUAAAUAUCUAAUACCGUAAAAAGGCACAUGAAAAGUAAAUCACUAUAGAAAUGAUGGUUUUGUUAAGUUUGAGGAAAAGAAAUUAUCUCAGUUAGCCUUCUAUGGGAUAUGUUAUUUAUAGGGGGAAAAAAAUAAUUUAAAAAGAUGAAUGAUUUAAAAUUUAUGGUUUUGUUUAUUUUUUUUUUCCACUUUCUGCAAAACAAAUAUUCAGUAUGUAAAUAAACCAUAAUCUGCCAAAUUGUUGCAGAAAAAAUCCAAAAAACUUAAAAUAAAAUUUGUGUGGUCUAUUGAUACCAGUGCCCUUAUAAAAAAAUGUUUUACUCAAGAAGGUAGCAUUUUCUCAUGAACUUUCUGUAUGUAGUAUUCCCAGAUAAGUAGCUUAGGAUGAGUUGAAAUUUUUCAUAAGACGAUGUGUCACCAUUGAUCAGUUUGUUUACAUUAUGCUAUUCAGAAUUGUUGACCACUGUGCUAAUUUCAAACACUCCA